Long non-coding RNA from Dunckerocampus dactyliophorus (ringed pipefish), 1512 nucleotides. RefSeq lists it as uncharacterized. The record is from RefSeq and is a predicted model, not a curated record. The transcript has 3 exons. Lineage: Eukaryota; Metazoa; Chordata; Actinopteri; Syngnathiformes; Syngnathidae.
CAGGUGUUUGUUGAUCAGCGUUGUAGAGGAAUACAAAGCGAAAAAACACGUGGACAGCAUACAAGAGAAAGGCGAUGGACCGUACCGAGACAAGGGUGCAAGACCUCCGAAUUUUACGGCUCAAAGAGAAGACCGUCGUCAUUUCAGAGGACACGCUGCCAUUAAAAGAAGUCCAUAAUCCACCUGACUGGAUGUGAUGCAUUCAAGCGACAGCAUUGUGGAGCUGUAUUCCCCCACAUCAAGUUGUGGACCGUCACACAAUCCCGUUCACUUCCCCAACAUCAGGGUCCUCCUUCAGUUGGCCUGUACCAUCCCAGUAACAUGGUGUCAAUGUGAGCCAAGUGCCAGUACCUUGAAGCGUGUGAACACCUACAUGAGGGCCAGCAUGACGCAACAGCGGCUGACCUCGCUGGCACUUCUCCACAUUCACUACAAAAAGGUUAUCAACCUGGAGGAAGUGGUGGACAUAUUUUCCACGACACAUCCAAGAAAGAUGAUGCUGAAUUUGUGAUAGACCUGACCUCAGCCUGUAGUGCUGCUACUACCCCCCAUCCACUCAUCCUAUAUUCUUGCUACAACAGAAUGUGGCCCCCGGCCCCCCCAAAAUGAGGAUACCUGCAGAGCACGGUACAAUCAAGCACCUGUAAAAAGUGUGGCGAGUUGUGUACUGCUGCAACUGGCCAGAGUACAGUCAGUGACAAAAGAUGAAUGCGUUGUUCAAAUGAGAAAACAAAAAUAUUUCACUCACUUUGCUUAUUUUACAUGAUUUUUUUUCUUUGUUGCUGUUGUGUACUUCUUUUACCUUUGAAUAUGUUUUUUAAUUUCUCAUUUUAUAUCGUCUGUUAUUUAGUUGUAUUUGUUGUGUACAUGUUAUUGUAUUUGUAUGUGUAUCGUCAUAUUCAUUGCUUAAACCAUUUGUGUGUUCAUUUUAACUGCACUACUAAAUAUGUUUAUAUCCAAAAUGGUCACAUUUACAGUAUCUCUUUAAGAUGAUGAGUUUCUUAUUUCUGUCUCAAUGCUGAAGCGUGUGGUUCUAUCUGAGGAUAUGGGAGUCUAAAUAACCAAACCAAAGAGUAUAAACCAGUGAGAUUUAUUCCUGACAGAAAUACCUAAUACAGACGUCCGGGCCUUAAUACAGUCCCUGUAUGCCUACGAUUAACUGUAAUCGUUAAUUAACUGAUAACUGAUUAACUGUAGACACAGUAGCAGUGUAGGGUGGGGAAAGCCCCCCGCCCCCCAGCAUGUCCGUCCGUCCAUCCAUCCAUCCAUCCAUCCAUUUUCUAUACAGCUUCUCAUUAGGGUCGCGGGGGUUUGCUGGAGCCUGUCCGAGCUGAGAGGCGGGGUACAGCCUGGACUGAUCGCCAGCCAAUUGCAGAGCACAUAUAGACAAACAACCAUUCACACUCACAUUCAUACCUAUGGACAAUUUAGAGUCACCAAUUAACCUAACAUGCAUGUUUUUGGAAUGUGGGAGGAAGCCGGAGUACCCGGAGAAAACCCCCACACACACGC